This 256-nucleotide ribosomal RNA is filed under the name Escherichia coli. Its description in RNAcentral is "partial 23S ribosomal RNA". It matches the Rfam family "Bacterial large subunit ribosomal RNA", at positions 2693 to 2925 of the family's 2925-position model. Lineage: Bacteria; Pseudomonadati; Pseudomonadota; Gammaproteobacteria; Enterobacterales; Enterobacteriaceae. The record is from RNAcentral.
CGGAGUGGACGCAUCACUGGUGUUCGGGUUGUCAUGCCAAUGGCACUGCCCGGUAGCUAAAUGCGGAAGAGAUAAGUGCUGAAAGCAUCUAAGCACGAAACUUGCCCCGAGAUGAGUUCUCCCUGACCCUUUAAGGGUCCUGAAGGAACGUUGAAGACGACGACGUUGAUAGGCCGGGUGUGUAAGCGCAGCGAUGCGUUGAGCUAACCGGUACUAAUGAACCGUGAGGCUUAACCUUACAACGCCGAAGGUGUUU